Molecule: unclassified non-coding RNA, 298 nt
Filed under: fungal sp.
Lineage: Eukaryota; Fungi
Description: partial internal transcribed spacer region
Rfam family: Eukaryotic small subunit ribosomal RNA (bases 1-46)
Source: RNAcentral
AAGUCGUAACAAGGUCUCCGUAGGGGAACCUGCGGAGGGAUCAUUUCCGAAUUUGAGAGCGGAUGCUGAGGGCGCGAGCCCGAGGCAGACGCUCUUAUCAAAAGUUGGUUGUGUUCUACCUAAAAAAAAGGGAAGGGUAUUUGUGUGUGGAUUUGUUCACCCUUAACAAGUGGACAAAUCUUUCCCAUCUAUUCUUUGCUUUUUUUUUAUAAACAUGUAAUCAAAACAUUCUUAACUUGAUGGCAUCUUUUUUUAUUAAAAAAAAUGACAACUAUCAACGGCGGAUCUCUUGGUUCGU